RNAcentral lists this transfer RNA (65 nucleotides) under Salmonella enterica subsp. enterica serovar Derby. RNAcentral's name for it is "tRNA-Asp". The record is from RNAcentral. Lineage: Bacteria; Pseudomonadati; Pseudomonadota; Gammaproteobacteria; Enterobacterales; Enterobacteriaceae.
GAGCGGUAGUUCAGUUGGUUAGAAUACCUGCCUGUCACGCAGGGGGUCGCGGGAGCGGUAGUUCA